RNAcentral lists this ribosomal RNA (520 nucleotides) under uncultured bacterium. RNAcentral describes it as "bacterial SSU rRNA". It matches the Rfam family "Archaeal small subunit ribosomal RNA", at positions 345 to 865 of the family's 1478-position model. The record is from RNAcentral.
AACCUCCGCAAUGUACGAAAGUGCGACGGGGGGAUCCCAAGUGUUAUGCUUUUUUGUAUAACUUUUCAUUAGUGUAAAAAGCUUUUAGAAUAAGAGCUGGGCAAGACCGGUGCCAGCCGCCGCGGUAACACCGGCAGCUCGAGUGGUAGCUGUUUUUAUUGGGCCUAAAGCGUUCGUAGCCGGUUUGAUAAGUCUUUGGUGAAAGCUUGUAGCUUAACUAUAAGAAUUGCUGGAGAUACUAUCAGACUUGAAGUCGGGAGAGGUUAGAGGUACUACCGGGGUAGGGGUGAAUCCUAUAAUCCUGGGAGGACCACCUGUGGCGAAGGCGUCUAACUGGAACGAUCUUGACGGUGAGUAACGAAAGCCAGGGGCGCGAACCGGAUUAGAUACCCGGGUAGUCCUGGCCGUAAACGAUGUGGACUUGGUGUUGGAAUGGCUUUGAGUUGUUCCGGUGCCGAAGGGAAGCUGUUAAGUCCACCGCCUGGGAAGUACGGUCGCAAGACUGAAAACUUAAAGAAUU